GAUGAACGCUGGCUGCGUGCCUAAUACAUGCAAGUCGAGCGAACAGACGAGGAGCUUUCUCCUCUGACGUUAGCGGCGGACGGGCGAGUAACACGUGGAUAACCUACCUAUAAGACUGGGAUAACUUCGGGAAACCGGAGCUAAUACCUGCUAAUAUAUUUCACCUCAUGGUUCAAUAGUGAAAGACGGUUUUGCUGUCACUUAUAGAUGGAUCCGCGCCGCAUUAGCUAGUUGGUAAGGUAACGGCUUACCAAGGCAACGAUGCGUAGCCGACCUGAGAGGGUGAUCAGCCACACUGGAACUGAGACACGGUCCAGACUCCUACGGGAGGCAGCAGUAGGGAAUCUUACGCAAUGGGCGAAAGCCUGACGGAGCAACGCCGCGUGAGUGAUGAAGGUCUUCGGAUCGUAAAACUCUGUUAUUAGGGAAGAACAAAUGUGUAAGUAACUAUGCACGUCUUGACGGUACCUAAUCAGAAAGCCACGGCUAAAUACGUG
Molecule: ribosomal RNA, 497 nt
Filed under: uncultured bacterium
Lineage: Bacteria
Description: partial 16S ribosomal RNA
Rfam family: Bacterial small subunit ribosomal RNA
Source: RNAcentral